AUGGAGCACGGCCAGGCGACUAACCGCGUCGACGAGUACGGCAACCCGGUGGCCGGGCAUGGCGUCGGCACCGGCAUGGGGGCGCACGGCGGCGUGCGCACCGGCGCGGCCGCUGGUGGGCAUUUCCAGCCCACGAGAGAGGAGCACAAGGCCGGAGGGAUCCUGCAGCGGUCCGGCAGCUCUAGUAGCUCCAGCUCGUCUGAGGAUGAUGGCAUGGGCGGGAGGAGGAAGAAGGGCAUCAAGGAUAAGAUAAAGGAGAAGCUUCCGGGUGGCCACGGCGACCAGCAGCAGACCGCUGGCACCUACGGGCAGCAGGGUCACACCGGAAUGACCGGCACCGGGGCGCAUGGUACAGCAGCCAUUGGCGGCACCCACGGGCAGCAGGGACACACCGGAGUGACCGGCACGGGGACGCACGCCACCGACGGCACUGGCGAAAAGAAGGGCAUCAUGGACAAGAUCAAGGAGAAGCUGCCCGGACAGCACUGA
Molecule: ribosomal RNA, 489 nt
Filed under: Triticum aestivum (bread wheat)
Lineage: Eukaryota; Viridiplantae; Streptophyta; Magnoliopsida; Poales; Poaceae
Description: partial small subunit ribosomal RNA
Source: RNAcentral